Molecule: ribosomal RNA, 301 nt
Filed under: uncultured bacterium
Lineage: Bacteria
Description: partial 16S ribosomal RNA
Rfam family: Bacterial small subunit ribosomal RNA
Source: RNAcentral
CAGCCGCCGCGGGAAUACGUAGGUGGCGAGCGUUGUCCGGAUUUAUUGGGCGUAAAGGGAGUGUAGGCGGUCUUUUAAGUCUGAUGUGAAAGCCCACGGCUCAACCGUGGAGGGUCAUUGGAAACUGGGAGACUUGAGUGCAGAAGAGGAGAGCGGAAUUCCAUGUGUAGCGGUGAAAUGCGUAGAUAUAUGGAGGAACACCAGUGGCGAAGGCGGCUCUCUGGUCUGUAACUGACGCUGAGGCUCGAAAGCGUGGGGAGCAAACAGGAUUAGAUACCCCCGUAGUCCCUGUCUCUUAUAC